CAAUAGCGUAUAUUUAAGUUGCUGCAGUUAAAAAGCUCGUAGUUGGAUUUCGGGUGGGAAUGGCCGGUCCGCCGUUUCGGUGUGCACUUGCUACGCCCACCUUGCUGCCGGGGACGUGCUCUUGAGUUCACGCUCGGGACACGGAGUCGGCGAGGUUACUUUGAGUAAAUUAGAGUGUUCAAAGCAGGCCUACGCUCUGAAUACAUUAGCAUGGAAUAACGCGAUAGGACUCUGGCCUAUCUUGUUGGUCUGUAGGACCGGAGUAAUGAUUAAGAGGGACAGUCGGGGGCAUUCGUAUUUCAUUGUCAGAGGUGAAAUUCUUGGAUUUAUGAAAGACGAACUACUGCGAAAGCAUUUGCCAAGGAUGUUUUCAUUAA
RNAcentral lists this ribosomal RNA (377 nucleotides) under uncultured eukaryote. Its description in RNAcentral is "partial 18S ribosomal RNA". It matches the Rfam family "Eukaryotic small subunit ribosomal RNA", at positions 592 to 976 of the family's 1831-position model. The record is from RNAcentral.